AUAUUUAAAGACCAGGCCUUGGACGCCGCAGCACUUCUAUCUCUGCUUGAUGCCUGCUGCCACGUGGCUGGUCCUCCUCCUCUUGCUGUGGCUGAGCCCUGGGGUGAAGACAGGCAGCUAUUCCCAACCCCAGAACCUUUGCUGUCUUGGAACAGAUCACCACUGCAAGAGGGGAAGUUGCUACUGUGAUGAAUUCUGCCAUGUGGUACCAGACUGCUACCCAGACCACAGUGUCCUCUGCAACCCUCGUAACUCACAUACAGGCCUGAUUCCACCUACAGCAAAGCUGGAUGCUAUGGUUGGCAGAGGCAAACCCUUUGCCUGCACUUCAGGCCAAAGCCGGGAUGUGGCCUAGAUGGUUCCUAAGGUCCCUGACAAUCCUGAGAUCUUGCAUCUUGUCUAUUUCAGGUCAAAGCUUCUCAGAUGACCAAGAUGGUGCUGCAGAUGGUGCUGAGGAUGGAGAACCCACCAAGCCCCGCUAGGAGCCACCUAGACUGGAUGUAGAGCAUGUUUUAUUUGCUUCCAAGAAGGAAGGCAAGAUUUCCUGGGUCCGUGAUGAUGGAAGGCUGACAACUCUUUUAUGGAGUUUGAGCUUGCUCCCAGCAGGGAAGACAAGUUCGAGUUUUUUUCCUGCUUCAAGGAUGGUAGAGAGCAGUCUUCAGCCUGAGACCCAUCCCUAGGCCCCAGCACCCGCAGAGCAGACACUGCGAUGACAACGGACGACACAGAAGUGCCCGC
This 738-nucleotide long non-coding RNA is filed under the name Pan troglodytes (chimpanzee). RNAcentral's name for it is "lincRNA". Lineage: Eukaryota; Metazoa; Chordata; Mammalia; Primates; Hominidae. The record is from RNAcentral.